AUCGCAUUCUACACUCUGUCUGCAGUGCACAUGUAUAUCCAUCGUAGGAGACCACACCGGGGAUAACGUUCCCACCCACUGCCCAGUUUGCAAGUGUCUUCCAAUUCAUCAUGGCGGUGGGUGUAGUAAUAGUUAGUUAGCCUGCACACCCGGGUGCUUUUACUUCGACCAAAGAGUAUGCAUGGGAAAUUGGACAAAGCUAACGUUAUAUACUACCUGCGUUUAAAACACAAAGGUCUAAGAACUGCAGCAUGUUGAAAAAAAUUGGCUAAAACGGAACACUGUGACAUACCCUCCCCCUUGCCUUGGUUGCUAAAACUAACGUUCAUUUAGCUAGCUGACUGGCUAAAGCUAACAAUCGCUUAGCUAGCUGACUGGCUAAAGCUAACGUUCACUUGGCUAGCUGACUGGCUAAAGCUAACGUUCAUUUAGCUAGCUGACUGGGCUAACGUCGUCCGCGGAAGUGGACAGUGAAUGUUUUUGCGGGAAGCUUCAGGACCAGAACACAGACCUACUGUUGAAAACCUGAGAGCACCCAUUAGAUAGGUGUCACAGUCUCCCAAGUGAUGGAGAGUGGGGAUGAUGAGAUGGAGAUGACCGUGGGGGAGCUUCAGGGCUGGAUACAGGAGGAGGUGGAGAAUCAAGACUUGGUGAAACUCAGGAGGACCCAGCUGGCCCAGAUGCAGAACCUAGUGCAGCGGAAGGAGAAGCAGGCCCUCUGCACCCGCACCCUUUUCAACACUGCCUGCGAGUCUGUGGUGGAGUGUGAGACCGUUAUGAAGGCGCUGUACAGCAAACUGGGCAUGGAGUACAGAGACACAGACUCUGAAGAUGAAGGAGUGGGCCAGCAAAGUAUCAUUGAGAUCGAUGAUGGGGACGCUGACAGAAACGACAACACCAUGGCCACAGACGGAGUUGCUGCUUCCGAUUCGGCUCCUGGAGAAGUCCCAGCUACAGACAGUGACACAGAAAAUUACAAUGACAUGGCAGAUGACAUGGAGAGCAUGCCAUCCUCUCCAGCUGUGACCACCCCUUUUGUGACUGUAACUGUUGCCCCAAAUGAAGCCUCAAACUCUAAUGAUACCCCAGCAACUCCCCUUGCGGAGUCUGAGUCUGAACCACCAAGUCCACAAGAAGACAGUGGCGAUGAGUAUACUCCAUCAAAAUCAAAAAAGAUCUCAACAAAACGUCCAGAAUCCAGCAAACGUGGACGGCCAAGAAAAGGUGGAAAAGGUGAAAGGAAGAGAAGAGAAUCUGUCCGAACCAAGCAUCAACUUGUGUCUUACAGGGAAGACUCACCUCCUGCCCCAACAAAUCCUUCUGUGCCAUCGAAACCACAAAAGCCCAGAGCAGGUGACUGCUCUGCGUCGACAAAACAGCAGAACUCAAGCAAAAGUGGCACAGCUUCCCCACCAAAAUUACAGGAGGCCAGCAAAAGUGGUUCCACUGUCCCAUUAAAACAACAAGAGGCCAGAAAAGAAACGUCCACUCCAUUUGUGGUGACCAGCGUGUCGCAAGCUCCGACACAUGCACCAAACCCUGCCACUCAGCCACCUCCCGGCCUCACAGAGGAGGAGAUUAAGACUGAUAUGAAGGUCCUGGCUAGGAGGAGGACCAAGACCUGGCACUCAGGAAGGAUUACAGAAAUCAAACCAUCAGAGAAUGGAAGCAGGUAUAAGGUGGACUUUAGCGAGAAAGGGAGAAGCAUGCUGUCAGGACACCACAUAGCCUUUGACCAGACUGCUUCACUGGAGAGGCUGUACGUGGGUGUGCGCGUGGUGGCCAAGUUCAAGGACGCCGAGCAGUCCUGGUUCUACUCUGGCAUUCUGGCUGAGCUCCCCAACCGAAAGAACCGCAUGAGGUUCCUGGUCUUUUUUGAUGACGGCACACCUUCCUAUGUCGGUUUGCCGGAUCUUCACAUUGUUUGCAGACCACUGCCGGAGGUGUGGGAGGACAUAGAGGAUGAGGCCAACAGGGAGUUCAUCAAGGAUUACAUCAAGGUGUAUCCCAACCCGCCUAUGGCCCAGUACAGACCAGGCCAGCCCAUCAAUGUGGAGUUUGAGGGGAUCCAGAGGAGGACAGAAGUAGAGCAGAUUGACUGCAGCUUGUUGUGCGUCGUCUUCAAGGAUGACGAACAUAAGGAAUGGGUGUACCGAGGCUCUUUGCGUCUGGAGCAUAUGGCCAACAUGAAGAAACGUGUUGAGGAGGCAAAGGAUAAACCAACAGUGACACGGCCCAACAGUGGGGGAGCAGUUUCGACUACUACUACAAUCCACCAGACUAGCACGGCUGCUGCCAACAAACCUCACGUCAACCCCUCGUCAACAGUAAUACCAGCGCAGGUCACUUCCAACAAUGUCAGCCAGGGCCAGCCAGCUGCUGGUAAACAGUCAGCAUCCGUAGGGAGGCCCUUUGGCCAGGAUCGUACGACUGACAAGGAGUCGUCUGUCAUCACAGCUAAAGGUUCGGUCACCUUCACUCCCCACCGUUGCUGCCCCGCCUGCCUGAACUGCAUCCGGUCAAAGGUUGAGGCCAAGCACCGUGGACGCAACCCGCUGCUCAUCCCCCUGCUCUGCGAGUUCCGCCGCAUGAAGGGCCGCCACCGGGUCAAUAACAAGACGUAUUUCCACAUAUUUUACCGGUCGCCGUGUGGCCUCAGCCUGAGCAACAUGACUGCUGUGCAGGACUACCUUCAACAGACACGCUGUGACUUCCUCUUCCUGGACAUGUUCUGCCUAGACCCCUUUGUGUCUGUGACCACCACUCACCAGCCCCGGCCCUACAAGAUCAACAUCCCAGACCUGACGCUGGGCAGAGAGAACCAGCCGCUGUCCUGCAUCAACGAGCUCAACAGCAUCCGGCCACUCUCGGUGAUCUACAACAAGCAGCGUGUCGCAGCCAGUGGGGUCUCCAUCAACACCAGUUCAGACUUUCUGAUGGGCUGCGACUGCACCGACGGCUGCAGGGACAGGUCGGCAUGUUCCUGUCACCAGCUGACCAUCCAGGCCACAGCCCUGUUGCCAGCGGGCCCUGAGGACGUCAACGCUGGCUACACACACAAGAGGCUGGAGAAACGCCUCUCCACAGGUAUAUAUGAGUGCAAUGCACUGUGCCGCUGUGACCCACGGGUGUGCUCUAACCGGGUGGUGCAGCAUGGCCUUCAGCUGCGGCUACAGCUCUUCAUGACCGUGGGGAAGAGCUGGGGAAUCCGCUGCCUGGAUGACAUUGCCAAGGGCACCUUCAUCUGCACCUACACUGGGAUAAUCAUGAACAAGAAGAGUUUGAGCACAGAGGGCAACAUGUAUAUGGUCAACCUGAACCACAUAGAGGGAGCUGAGAGCAAGGAGGGUUACGAGAGUGAGGCCCGCUGCUCCGACAAUGAGUCAGGUUCAGAAGAGCCCAUAGAAGAAGACAACAGUGAACAUGAUGAUGACUGUGAUGAAGAGGGAAACCACGACAAAGAGCCGCUACGUAUGAAGAACUUAUAUGAUGAAGAACCCAGUGACUAUGAGGACAGUUAUGAGGACAAGGAUUAUGAUGUCAGUGAAGAUGAUGGCGGCUCUGAUGAUGACUUCAGGCACAACGUCUCCUCUAUGGAGAGGAGCUACGUCACCCGCAGGCAUGCCAAAAUACUACAGGAGGACCCAGCGAAGAAAUCGGGCUCUGCCGCCAAAUCUUCUGACCAGCAGGAUGGUACAGCAGAGGGAAAUGACAAGGAGGCCUCAAAUGCCACUAGGCAUUUCUUUGAUGGGGAGGAGUCAUGCUACGUCAUCGACGCAAAGCUGGAGGGGAAUGUGGGUCGUUACCUCAAUGAAAGAGGCCCUGUCAAGGUCCCUCUAAUCUAGGGAGGAAGGGAACGGCAUGGAACUGCCAGCCCACCUACUGUUUGUGCGCGUCAUAGCUGCCAACCAAACCUGUUUGCGCAGAAUGUUUUUGUGGACACACAUGACCUUCGAUUCCCCUGGGUGGCCUUCUUUGCCAGCAAGCGCAUUAGAGCUGGUACAGAGCUGGCGUGGGAUUAUAAAUGUGAGCUUGGUGUGAAAAGGUCGUCAAGAGUCCUGAAUUGUCGCUGUGAUCCAGAGUGCAGGGAAAAGUUAUGAAAGCCCAUACUAUUACUUCCAGCUUCACCGCUGCAGUAAAUGUACGAAUAUACUGUAAUAGGUAGUCUUAACCUUUUUUCAAUAAAAAAAUGAACGUUUUUGUA
Molecule: non-coding RNA, 4204 nt
Organism: Oncorhynchus mykiss (rainbow trout)
Lineage: Eukaryota; Metazoa; Chordata; Actinopteri; Salmoniformes; Salmonidae
Source: RefSeq, a predicted model, not a curated record